RNAcentral lists this ribosomal RNA (584 nucleotides) under uncultured bacterium. Its description in RNAcentral is "partial 16S ribosomal RNA". It matches the Rfam family "Bacterial small subunit ribosomal RNA", at positions 355 to 1375 of the family's 1533-position model. The record is from RNAcentral.
UGGGGAAUUUUGGACAAUGGGCGAAAGCCUGAUCCAGCAAUGCCGCGUAUGUGAAGAAGGCCUUCGGGUUGUAAAGCACUUUUGUCCGGAAAGAAAUCCUUGGCUCUAAUACAGUCGGGGGAUGACGGUACCGGAAGAAUAAGCACCGGCUAACUACGUGCCAGCAGCCGCGGUAAUACGUAGGGUGCAAGCGUUAAUCGGAAUUACUGGGCGUAAAGCGUGCGCAGGCGGUUUGCUAAGACCGAUGUGAAAUCCCCGGGCUCAACCUGGGAACUGCAUUGGUGACUGGCAGGCUAGAGUAUGGCAGAGGGGGGUAGAAUUCCACGUGUAGCAGUGAAAUGCGUAGAGAUGUGGAGGAAUACCGAUGGCGAAGGCAGCCCCCUGGGCCAAUACUGACGCUCAUGCACGAAAGCGUGGGGAGCAAACAGGAUUAGAUACCCUGGUAGUCCACGCCCUAAACGAUGUCAACUAGUUGUUGGGGAUUCAUUCCUUAGUAACGUAGCUAACGCGUGAAGUUGACCGCCUGGGGAGUACGGUCGCAAGAUUAAAACUCAAAUGAAUUGACGGGGUCAUAGCUGUUUCCU